UGGUGAGGUAACGGCUCACCAAGGCGAAGACGGGUAGGGGGUGUGAGAGCACGGCCCCCCACAAUGGGACUGAGACACGGCCCAUACUCCUACGGGAGGCAGAGCAGGGAAUAUGCCAAUGGACGGAAGUCUGAUGCAGCGACGCCGCGUGGAUGAUGAAGGCCUUCGGGUUGUAAAAUCCUUUACGGGGUGACGAGGAAGGACGGUAGCCCCGGAACAAGCGUCGGCUAACUACGUGCCAGCAGCCGCGGUAAGACGUAGGACGCAAGCGUUAUCCGGAUUUACUGGGCGUAAAGCGUCUGUAGGCGGAUGAGUAAGUUGGGCGUGAAAGCUCCGGGCUCAACCCGGAGAGGCCGUUCAAUACUGCUGAUCUAGAGGAGGCCAGAGGGGAGUGGAAUUCCUGGAAGUAGCGGUAAAAUGCGCAGAUAUCAGGAAGAACACCAGUGGCGAAGGCGGUCCCUAGGCCCACCUGACGCUGAGAGACGACAGCUAGGGGAGCGAACAGGAUUAGAGACCCUGGUAGUCCUAGCCGUAAACGAUGGAUGCUAGGUGUAGGCCCGUAGAGGCUCUGUGCCGGAGCGAACGCGAUAAGCAUCCCGCCUGGGGAGUACGGCCGCAAGGCUAAAACUCAAACGAAUUGACGGGGACCCGCACAAGCAGCGGAGCGUGUGGUUUAAUUCGAUGCUACACGAAGAACCUUACCUGGGUUUGACAUGGGCGUGGUAGUGAAGCGAAAGCGGAGCGACCCUUCGGGGAGCGUCCACAGGUGCUGCAUGGCUGUCGUCAGCUCGUGCCGUGAGGUGUCGGGUUAAGUCCCGUAACGAGCGCAACCCUUGCCCUUAGUUACAAGUGUCUAAGGGGACUGCCGGCGGGAAGCCGGAGGAAGGUGGGGAUGACGUCAAGUCAGCAUGGCCCUUAUAUCCAGGGCUACACACACGCUACAAUGGCCGGUACAGAGGGCAGCGAAGCCGCGAGGUGGAGCGAAUCCCAGAA
This 993-nucleotide ribosomal RNA is filed under the name uncultured organism. RNAcentral's name for it is "bacterial SSU rRNA". It matches the Rfam family "Bacterial small subunit ribosomal RNA", at positions 250 to 1279 of the family's 1533-position model. The record is from RNAcentral.